RNAcentral lists this long non-coding RNA (1685 nucleotides) under Homo sapiens (human). RNAcentral's name for it is "HSALNT0282992". Lineage: Eukaryota; Metazoa; Chordata; Mammalia; Primates; Hominidae. The record is from RNAcentral.
UAGACUGGAUUAAGAAAAUGUGGCACAUAUACACCAUGGAAUACUAUGCAGCCAUAAAAAAUGGUGAGUUCAUGUCCUUUGUAGGGUCAUGGAUGAAGCUGGAAACCAUCAUUCUCAGAAAACUAUCGCAAGGACAAAAAACCAAACACCGCAUGUUCUCACUCAUAGGUGGGAAUUGAACAAUGAGAAAACAUGGACACAGGAAGGGGAACGUCACACACCGGCGACUGUUGUGGGGUGGGGGGAGGGGGGAGGGAUAGCAUUAGGAGAUAUACCUAAUGAUAAAUGACGAGUUAAUGGGUGCAGCACACCAACAUGGCACAUGUAUACAUAUGUAACAAACCUGCACAUUGUGCACAUGUACCCUAAAACUUAAAGUAUAAUAAUAAUAAAACUAAAUAAAUAAAUAAAUCUACGGGUGGAUUUUUCAGAUGCACUGGCAGAGCAAAUAUCGGUUUUAUAUAAAAAGUCAGCAUAAGCCAAUUGGAGAAAUGUGAGGGAAUGCUUCUAACUACUUCAUUACAUCCUAAUCACAAAAGCAGAAAGGACAAUGGAUAAAGACAAAAGCAAAUGUACAUUAUCACAUUUUGGCCCUAUACAACUAUUAGGACAAGAGAGGAAGGAGAAAAGCAGGCCCACGUCAGUUUAAAAAUGCCAUGUAAGUCAGGUACCUUGAAAACAAUCAUAGGCAGGGGGCGCGGGGAGGGAUAGCAUGAGGAGAUAUACCUAAUGUAAAUGACGGGUUAAUGGGUGCAGCACACCAACACGGCACAUGUAUACAUAUGUAACAAAACUGCACAUUGUGCACAUGUACUCUAGAACUUAAAGUAUAAUAAUAAAUAUAAUAAUAAUAAUAAAGAAAGAAAGAAAACAAUCAUAGGCUUUGUUCCAGCAAGGCUGAAACUGCCUUUGCAAAAAUUACAACUAAGGAAAUUAUGACAGUAAAAGAGAUCAGACCUAACUGACUCGACUCUAUCUUGCUUCUAACCUUUAAGCUGGCCUUGUUCAUUCCUGGGCAUAGGCCAAACUAACCUUGGGAAGGAAUUUAGUUUAUAGUUCAACUUUGAAACAAAAUUAAUAAUAGCCCUUUCCCAAAGGGGAAAGCAAAACAAAUCACCCCUUCUUGCCUGGGGACCAGUCUGAGUCUGUCUUUGUAGGACUAACAAACUAGCUACAAGAUUAGAAAUUAUGGUUUGGGGCCAACACUGCACUCCAGGUCUGGUAAUCUGGCUCAACCAGAUUGAGGCUGGUAACCUGGCUCAACCAGUUCUGCGAUUUCACCCAAGAACAGAAGACAGCAAGAGAAACUCACUUUGACCCCCUAUGAUUCCAUCUCCAACCCGACCAAUCAGCACACCCCACUUCCCAAGCCUCUCCCCACCAAAUUAUCCUUAAAAACUCUGAUCCCGGGGAAGGCUUGGAAAGACAGAUUUGAGUAAUAAUAAAACUCCAGUGUCCCACACAGCUUCUCUGCAUGAAUUACUCUUUCUCCAUUGCAAUUCCCUUGUCUAGGCAGCGGGCAGGGUUUCUAGAAGGCUGACAAGGAAAAAAAACACAAACAAAAAUUUGUCUUACAACCAAUAGUGCGGAGGUCGGGAUGGGGGCAGAAGGGUGAGAACUAACAAAUUAGCUCGGAUUUUGGUCUCUCCUGGCCUCUUUCCAUCUGAGAAUUGGGGGAACCUUCU